CUGGCUGGCUCAAGAGUGAAGCUGCAGACCUUCACGGCCAGGCGCAGUGGCUGACACCUGUAAUCCCAGCACUUUGGGAGGCCCAGGCGGCAGGAGUUCGAGACCAGUCUGGCCAACAUGGAGAAACCUCGUCUCUACUAAAAAUACAAAAAAAUUAGCUGAGUGUGGUGGCACAUGCCUGUAAUCCCAGCUACUCAGGAGGCUGAGGCAGGAAAAGUGCUUGAACUCAGGAAACAGAGACUGCAGUGAGCCGACAUCACACCACUGCACUUCAGCUUGGGCGACAGGAUUUAUUCUUGCAGCCUAAAUUUUGGAUUCAGUGUUCAGGUCAUAUAUUGUUUUAUUCAAUAUAAUGGCAAGUUGUGUCAUCAAAAAAAUCGGAGAAUUUCAAUUGGCAUAUAUCUGUCAAAAAUAUCAACAAAAAUUAUGACGUGGGAAAGAGCAUAUGAAGAAGUUAAUUUAAAUGAAGAAUAUAUCUUCAAGUGUAUACCUCUCCCUUUAAGAAAGGACCAGCAAUAUAAUUGUAUACCCUUAUGAAGCUGGAAAAAAUUAAAUAAAUAUAAUAAAUCAUCCAAGUUCUAUUUGAAGGAAUUCUAUUACUGAAAUUUUGACUUGAAGAAAUCAACCAAGCUUCAUUCUAGGCACUAGAGAUGUAACAAUAAACAGAAGAGAUAAACUUCCCAUUUUCAUGAUAUAGGUGUUCCACUGGACAAGAAAGGCAAUUAAGAAAAACUGCAAAAAGGGUUUAGAAGCCAGCCUUAUACAUGGAUAAAGAUGCCUUGAUAGAUGGAAGAUAAAGGCCCAAAACAUAGCUAAGUGACCAGAGAAGCAAUCUAUGCAUUUUCAGUGAACAAUGACAAAUUACUGAAAAGAUGCACAUGUUUUGUGAGAUAACAUUUGCAAAUCAUCAUAGGCCAAGAACUCCCGCAUCUGGACAUAUCAUUAAUGUGGAUCCUCAAUACACAACCAGAUACAUGACUGCAGCCUUGGGAAGGUGUUAAAAUUACUGAGGGAUAAUGAGUCCUGAAGAGCUUCAGACAGAAAAUUUGGACCUGUCAAUGACAUCAAAGUAUCCUGUGAAAACUACCCAUUGCGGGCGUUUGGGGGCAGUUACUCUU
Symphalangus syndactylus (siamang) is the source of this 1118-nucleotide long non-coding RNA. RefSeq lists it as uncharacterized. Lineage: Eukaryota; Metazoa; Chordata; Mammalia; Primates; Hylobatidae. The record is from RefSeq and is a predicted model, not a curated record.